UACGUAGGGUGCAGGCGUUAAUCGGAAUUACUGGGCGUAAAGCGUGCGCAGGCGGUCUGCUAAGACAGGUGUGAAAUCCCCGGGCUUAACCUGGGAACUUCGCUUGUUACUGGCAGGCUGGAGUGUGGCAGAGGGGGGUGGAAUUCCACGUGUAGCAGUGAAAUGCGUAGAGAUGUGGAGGAACACCGAUGGCGAAGGCAGCCCCCUGGGCUAACACUGACGCUCAUGCACGAAAGCGUGGGGAGCAAACAGG
This 253-nucleotide ribosomal RNA is filed under the name uncultured bacterium. RNAcentral's name for it is "partial 16S ribosomal RNA". It matches the Rfam family "Bacterial small subunit ribosomal RNA", at positions 524 to 776 of the family's 1533-position model. The record is from RNAcentral.